This 1490-nucleotide long non-coding RNA is filed under the name Capsicum annuum. RNAcentral's name for it is "long non-coding RNA (CANN_LNC007412)". Lineage: Eukaryota; Viridiplantae; Streptophyta; Magnoliopsida; Solanales; Solanaceae. The record is from RNAcentral.
CAUUUUUCAUUCAAUAGACUCACUCAUUUUAUAGGCACAAACGCUCACCGACACACCACUCAUCACGACCAUGGAUUGAAUUCUCAACACACAGCUAUAGAAAUAGAUGCUAAGGAGGAGGAGAGAAGGGAUUCGAUUAAAAAAAAUUGGUUCUCCUUCACAACCCGCACACACAGACACACCGAAUCACGCACACACUCCUUAUGAUACACUGAUUCAUAUGCAUAAUUGGAGAUGAUCGAAAGAGGAGUGAUGAGGGUUGAGGGAGAAACAUAAAUUAGGAAUUUGUGUUACUGUUCUGGCGACGGUCUCACCAGAAAAGCUUUGUUACUGCAUCGUUCAAGGUUUGUAUUUGUGUCAAUCGAGUCUGUCGAGCUCCGGUGCAGCUAACUCAAACCAAAACACGAUUCUAUCAUCUCGAGUGCAUUGUCCGAUCAAUUUCGAACGGAAAAUAGUCCUUUAUAUCGAUUCUUAUUAUCCGUUCAAUAUGGGGGUUCCGUCUGUCGUCGAAUUGUUUAGGUUUAGGCUUAUUUUUACUCUUGGGUAUUGAGAUUGGAAUUUCUUUAUUGGGAUUUCUGUUCAGAGGUUUGUUAUUUUCGUUCAAAAUUAUUGAUUCGGGGGGUAUAUUGAGUGGUGUUGCUACUUUCGAAUUUCUUCGGAAUGGGAUUUGCAAUAUUGAGCUGGUGUUAAUCAUUUUGAGGCUUUUGGUUGAGGAUUUCAGACUUCAGCUUUCAUCGAUUCAUUAUUAUCAGUGAAAAAUCUACUCUUUUGAGGUCCAAUUCUCUCCUCUCUCUUCUUUUAUUUUAAUUUCGAUGCGAUUGUGGAUGUGAUUCGAUCUCUCUGUCCUAUUAGUUUGGAUUGAUUUGGGUGAUGUUUGAUGUUGUUUGGUUUUGCAUAAUUGAUCUCAAUGGCAUAAAUGUGAUGAUAAUAUGAAUUUGGGUUUGUAUCAAAAAAGUAAUUUGGGAUGGGAAUUGAAAGAUUGGUAAAAUGAUUUUGGUUUAAUUUUUGAUUUAUUGAUUAUGUUAAUUUCAUCGAACAUGAUAGUAUCAUGUCUUAGGUUGGGCAUCGAUAGGCAAAUUCUAAGUUUUGGGGCAGGCAACUCAUAGGAUUCUAAUCAUCGAAUGUGUAAUUAUUUGUGUUGAGUGAUUUUCUUUAUUUUUAUCGCAUUUCAUUAAAUGUAUUUAUUUAGUCAGGGAAUGCCUCGAAGGUCAUUUGUAUUUAUUCACCAGGGAAUGCCCCAACGCAUUAUGUUGGCGGAAGAUGUUCGUGAUCAAGACCCAGGGCACCGGGUGGAGCGUAGUUUAGGAUUAAUGUAGGUUUACAUUUCAGUUCCUUCUAUUUUGGGUUUGUAAUAAUUGGACUGAACAUUAACUUUUGGAUUUUCGUUUGUUUGGUUUGGUUGUUUUAUGUGUUUUGUGGUUUAUACAUUUAUAAUGUCAUACUAGCCGAUAUGCUCCACCAAGCGACCGUGAUCGAACCACGAGAUCGAG